Molecule: long non-coding RNA, 3645 nt
Organism: Hemicordylus capensis (graceful crag lizard)
Lineage: Eukaryota; Metazoa; Chordata; Lepidosauria; Squamata; Cordylidae
Exons: 3
Source: RefSeq, a predicted model, not a curated record
GAGUAAGUAAACCCUCCCGCCGCUCUUAAACGUACCCCGCCACCCAGUGCCGGACCGCAGUUGGCGGUUCCGUGCACACCCCUAUUCCAGGCUAGAUCCAAGGUGCUGGUCCUGACCUUUAAAGCCCUCCACGGCUUGGGGCCGGGGUACCGGUCGGACCGCAUUCACCCCUAUGAAUCUGCCAGUCUCCUUCAGGAAGCUUCCCCAGACAAGCCUGCCUCCUUCCUCUUGCAGUGCCUGUGCCUCUCCCCGACAUACGAGCUGGCGCUUCAGACGGGCAAGGUGAUUGAGCAGAUGGGCAAAUUCUACCCAGAGCUGAAGCUGGCCUACGCCAGCUAGUUAAAACAUGGCUCUAGUGUAUUGUAAAGAAAUGAUUGGUGUGAGCCUCAGUCUGCCUCUCGGCUCCCGCCAUUAUGUAGGAAAGGGGCAGAAGCCGUCUCGUGCAGGAGGAAGCAGAGGAGUGGAAAGCUACCGACUGGGUCUGCUGGGGGCGGCAACCGUCACCUCCCGCCGGGGUCUGAUGCCUACCCCAGUGGCAGCGGAGCCUCUGUGUGGCGGAGGAAGUCUGGGCACACACUGAAAAGAUGCGGAAAAGAUGAAGACUUCUGGGGAAAGAGGCAAAGGGGAGCUGCCGGCGCUGAAGAAGUGGACCACGAGCCAGAGCGAAGGGGAGCCACGCGAUUGGUCCACUCAGCGCGGCGAUGAUCAGCACCCUCCGGUGCCCACUGCUGCCUACCCCAGUGGCAGAGGAGCCUCUGUGGGGUGGAGGGAAAGAAAACCGGCAGCUGAUUUCUCCUCUUCUUCUGAGCUUCAACAAAUGGCUUGCCCUUUGCAUUUGGGAAGCAGAGGAGGACCUGGAGGAGGACCUGAACUUGUUUCAAGUUGUCUUAGCAGGUUUGGGGAACAGGUGAGACCUCGGAAAGUAGCAGAGACAUGUUUGGGAGAAUGGGGGAGGGGGGCAGUGACCUUUGAAGAGCUGCUUUCAAAGCUGCUUCUUUCUGGUAUUCCACCUCCUGCUGGCACAGGAGACCUGAGCCUGCAGGAGCUGCUCCACAAGAUCUCCAAGUGUCUGGUAAGAGCAGCCCCUCCCUGCCUGCCCCUUGAGUCUGCUGGGACUCAAGGGCACCUGGGCAGCACUUUAUUCCACCAGGAUUGGCCUUUGCUCAUGACCCCAGAUUCGGCAGCUCAGCUCCGGGAACUCCGUGGAGAUGGAGGCUUCCAACAUCCUGGGGUUCCUCUGCAGCGAGCAGGCUGGAGUGAGGAGAAUGGCUGCCAAGCGGAUCGGUAAGUGAAACAGGACAUUGGGGUCUCCCUUGGUGGGUCAUCUAGGGGGGAACAUUUCACUCUCUUUGAGGGCACUGUCAGAAGGGUGUGGAGGUUCAAGAGACGUUCCCCUCCCAGCAGCAACUCUACGCACCCCAUCAGUACUUAAUGCCUACCCCAGUGGAAACAGAAUGACAAUGCCAAGGGUGGGGCGGGGCCCUAGAGGUCUUCCAGUCCUUGCUCAAGACCAUGUCAGACGCAGCUCGUGCCAUGAAAGAGGCUCAUCAGCACAUGGAUAUCGACAAGGUGGGCGACCUGAUGUCUGAGAUCACAGAGCAGCAGGAUAUCGCCCAACAGAUAUCCGAUGUGAUCUCCAAGCCCGUAGGCUUUGGUGACGACGUUGACGAGGACGAGCUGCUGGCUGAGCUGGAGGGGAUGGAGCAAGAAGACCUUGACCAAGAGCUGCUUGGAGUGCUUUAAAAGAACUUCAGGAGGAAGGCAAGCCUUCCUUCACAUGAGAUGACCCUUGGUGGGUCAUCUAGGGGGAAACGUUUCACUCUCUUUGAGGGCACUGUCAGAAGGGUGUGGAGGUUCAAGACACGUUCCCCUCCCGGCAGCAACUCUACGUACCCAUCAGUACUUAAUGCCUACCCCAGUGGAAACAGACUGACAAUGGCAAGGGUGGGACGGGGCCCUAGAGGUCUUCCAGUCCUUCUCAUGAUCGGGGUGCAGUUAAUGUAGCUAGGAUUGUAUUGGCUUUUUUUAGCAGCUGCAUCACACUACUGGCUCGUAUUCAACUUGUGGCCCAUCGAGGUCCUCUUCCUUUUCACACAUACAGCCUUCAUAGCUCCAAAAAUGCUGGGUCCUCAGCUCUCACUGAGGGAAAGUAAAAGCUCAAUGCAUUCCCAGUACCUGAGGACUAAACUGUCACAGAACAAUAAAAUCAAACCACCUCCCUAGAACUGAGAGGGGCAGCAGGGUGGGACCCUGACACAGGGUGAGAGAGAGCUGGGCAGAACCCCAGGUGAGAGAGGGCUUAGAGACACCAGGAGAUAGAGGACUCGCUCGGAUAGGGCACGGAUGAGCCAGUGACUAUGGAUGGUUAAGGCUAGGGAUAGGAUCUCUAGUGAGGGUCUCUGGCUUGGUUAUUGGGAGGUGGGUAGUAAGUUGUACACACCAGUGUCCGGUCCGGAAGCGUGACUCUUAUGUAUGAACUCGUUUUGGGCAGUAUAAAAAUGUUUUAAUAAAUAAAAUAAAAUAAUAUACAUGGAAUUUCACCCAGGGUGGUUGUUUCCAGUAAAAGGGCUACGAGUCAGGGAACGCUUCUGGAAUCCAACACAGGCAUCUCAGUAACCUAUACAGUAAGUCCAGCCUCUAUAGAGGCUACGUUUGAAACAUUAUUCUAGAAACUAUUCCGCGUGUAAAGCCCUGCUUUGGCAGAGAGAAACCUUUAAGCUAUUUGUACAUCUACAAACUUGCCGUUGUUUUAGUUUGAAGUUCACUCAGUGUCCUGUGAGCGAUAUUUCUCCCCACACAGCCCUCAGUUAUACUUUGAAGGGGUUGUCAGGGCACAAAGCUAAGCCAGAAGAGCUUGGUGGUGGCAGCAGAAGCUUGAUAAAGGGAGGACGAGCUCAGAACAUCAUUCUCAGUAGACUGAAUCAUUGACACUUACCUGAAGGGUCAUUCUCCUCAGAAGUAUGGGUUGUAUCCGAGGAUCAUGGGAUUGCCUCGACCUCCUUCUCCAGACAGGGCCAGAGAUCAGAACAUCAUUAUCAGUAGAACUGGUCCACCAAGUUAAAAGGUUAUUAAGUUCUCCAGUUCUGGGAAGAGAUCCCCUCAUUAGCAGUGUCUCAGAGUGGUGAGCAGGAUAUGGCUCCCCACUCUCUUUAAAGCUUCUUGGAACGGAUUAAGGCUAAUUUAUUAUUCUUAAUUUUCCUCCAAAGCACGUUGUGACGAACUACAACAGCUUUGCAUCCACUAGGAAGCAGAACUCAAGAAGCAGAAGCAAUAUUACACAAGAAUCAUAACAACAAAAGAAAGAGAGAACAAUGACCUGAAAAGGUUUUUAGAAGAAAUGAUAGGUUUGCUGGAAAGUAACCUAAAUCUGAACACGUUGGGAUUAACUACGACAGCUUUGCAUCCACUAUGAAUCGGAAAUUAAGAAGCAAAAGCAAUAUUACACAAGAAUCAUAAUAGAAAAGGGAAGAAAACAAUGAACAGAAAAGGUUAUUAGAAGAAAUGAAAGGAGCUGGGUUGCCAGAGUUUGUCCGAGGUACAUGCCUAUCACUUGUGGCUUGGGCGGACGAGAUCUUGGGCAAGAGAAGCACCCCUCCUGUCCGUGCUCAGCCCUCUAAGGCACGUGCGCUGUGUGUGCGCUCACAC